AUUGAACGCUGGCGGCAUGCCUUACACAUGCAAGUCGAACGGUAACAGGUUAAGCUGACGAGUGGCGAACGGGUGAGUAAUAUAUCGGAACGUGCCCAGUCGUGGGGGAUAACGUAGCGAAAGCUACGCUAAUACCGCAUACGAUCUACGGAUGAAGGCGGGGGAUCGCAAGACCCCGCGCGAUUGGAGCGGCCGAUAUCAGACUAGGUUGUUGGUGAGGUAAAAGCUCACCAAGCCUGCGAUCUGUAGCCGGUCUGAGAGGACGACCACCCCAACUGGAGCUGAGACACGGUCCAGACUCCUACGGGAGGCAGCAGUGGGGAAUAUUGGACAAUGGGGGGAACCCUGAUCCAGCAAUGCCGCGUGUGUGAAGAAGGCCUGAGGGUUGUAAAGCACUUUCGGUGGGGAGGAGAGGUAUUAUGUUAAGAGCUAGAUACUGAGACGUUACCCACAAAAGCAGCACCGGCUAACUCCGUGCCAGCCGCCGCCGUAA
This 493-nucleotide ribosomal RNA is filed under the name uncultured bacterium. RNAcentral's name for it is "partial 16S ribosomal RNA". It matches the Rfam family "Bacterial small subunit ribosomal RNA", at positions 30 to 523 of the family's 1533-position model. The record is from RNAcentral.